UAAAAGGCCCUUUUCAGGGCCACAAAAUAAAUCGUUGUUUAACGUAU
Regulatory RNA element from Danaus plexippus plexippus, 47 nucleotides. It matches the Rfam family "Histone 3' UTR stem-loop". Rfam says of the family: The mRNAs of metazoan histone genes lack a poly-A tail. 3' end processing occurs at a site between a highly conserved stem-loop (modelled by this family) and a purine rich region around 20 nts downstream (the histone downstream element, or HDE). The record is from Rfam. Lineage: Eukaryota; Metazoa; Arthropoda; Insecta; Lepidoptera; Nymphalidae.